GAUGAACGCUGGCGGCGUGCCUAAUACAUGCAAGUCGAGCGAACGGACGAGAAGCUUGCUUCUCUGAUGUUAGCGGCGGACGGGUGAGUAACACGUGGAUAACCUACCUAUAAGACUGGGAUAACUUCGGGAAACCGGAGCUAAUACCGGAUAAUAUUUUGAACCGCAUGGUUCAAAAGUGAAAGACGGUCUUGCUGUCACUUAUAGAUGGAUCCGCGCUGCAUUAGCUAGUUGGUAAGGUAACGGCUUACCAAGGCACCGAUGCAUAGCCGACCUGAGAGGGUGAUCGGCCACACUGGAACUGAGACACGGUCCAGACUCCUACGGGAGGCAGCAGUAGGGAAUCUUCCGCAAUGGGCGAAAGCCUGACGGAGCAACGCCGCGUGAGUGAUGAAGGUCUUCGGAUCGUAAAACUCUGUUAUUAGGGAAGAACAUAUGUGUAAGUAACUGUGCACAUCUUGACGGUACCUAAUCAGAAAGCCACGGCUAACUACGUGCCAGCAGCCGCGGUAAUACGUAGGUGGCAAGCGUUAUCCGGAAUUAUUGGGCGUAAAGCGCGCGUAGGCGGUUUUUUAAGUCUGAUGUGAAAGCCCACGGCUCAACCGUGGAGGGUCAUUGGAAACUGGAAAACUUGAGUGCAGAAGAGGAAAGUGGAAUUCCAUGUGUAGCGGUGAAAUGCGCAGAGAUAUGGAGGAACACCAGUGGCGAAGGCGACUUUCUGGUCUGUAACUGACGCUGAUGUGCGAAAGCGUGGGGAUCAAACAGGAUUAGAUACCCUGGUAGUCCACGCCGUAAACGAUGAGUGCUAAGUGUUAGGGGGUUUCCGCCCCUUAGUGCUGCAGCUAACGCAUUAAGCACUCCGCCUGGGGAGUACGACCGCAAGGUUGAAACUCAAAGGAAUUGACGGGGACCCGCACAAGCGGUGGAGCAUGUGGUUUAAUUCGAAGCAACGCGAAGAACCUUACCAAAUCUUGACAUCCUUUGACAACUCUAGAGAUAGAGCCUUCCCCUUCGGGGGACAAAGUGACAGGUGGUGCAUGGUUGUCGUCAGCUCGUGUCGUGAGAUGUUGGGUUAAGUCCCGCAACGAGCGCAACCCUUAAGCUUAGUUGCCAUCAUUAAGUUGGGCACUCUAAGUUGACUGCCGGUGACAAACCGGAGGAAGGUGGGGAUGACGUCAAAUCAUCAUGCCCCUUAUGAUUUGGGCUACACACGUGCUACAAUGGACAAUACAAAGGGCAGCGAAACCGCGAGGUCAAGCAAAUCCCAUAAAGUUGUUCUCAGUUCGGAUUGUAGUCUGCAACUCGACUACAUGAAGCUGGAAUCGCUAGUAAUCGUAGAUCAGCAUGCUACGGUGAAUACGUUCCCGGGUCU
RNAcentral lists this ribosomal RNA (1372 nucleotides) under uncultured bacterium. RNAcentral describes it as "bacterial SSU rRNA". It matches the Rfam family "Bacterial small subunit ribosomal RNA", at positions 28 to 1381 of the family's 1533-position model. The record is from RNAcentral.